Long non-coding RNA from Oncorhynchus keta (chum salmon), 322 nucleotides. RefSeq lists it as uncharacterized. NCBI's taxonomy places the organism in Eukaryota, Metazoa, Chordata, Actinopteri, Salmoniformes, Salmonidae. The transcript is spliced from 3 exons. The record is from RefSeq and is a predicted model, not a curated record.
CCUAAUGACACCUGGUUACAGCCUCCCUAAUGACACCUGGCUACAGCUGUCCCUAAUGACACCUGGUUACAGCCUCCCUAAUGACACCUGGUUACAGCCUCCCUAAUGACACCUGGUUACAGCCUCCCUAAUGACACCUGGUUACAGCCUCCCUAAUGACACCUGGUUACAGCCUCCCUAAUGACACCUGGUUACAGCCUCCCUAAUGACACCUGGUUACAGCCUCCCUAAUGACACCUGGUUACAGCCUCCCUAAUGACACCUGGUUACAGCCUCCCUAAUGACACCUGGUUACAGCCUCCCUAAUGACACCUGGUUACAG